Non-coding RNA from Coemansia sp. RSA 1836, 73 nucleotides. Lineage: Eukaryota; Fungi; Kickxellomycota; Kickxellomycetes; Kickxellales; Kickxellaceae. The record is from the annotation of a GenBank genome assembly.
GGGGUUGUAACUCAGCUGGGAGAGUGCUAGCUUUGCAUGCUAGAAGUCCAGGGUUCAAAUCCCUGCUGCUCCA